RNAcentral lists this ribosomal RNA (1008 nucleotides) under uncultured eukaryote. RNAcentral's name for it is "bacterial SSU rRNA". It matches the Rfam family "Eukaryotic small subunit ribosomal RNA", at positions 41 to 1119 of the family's 1831-position model. The record is from RNAcentral.
UGAUUUAGCCAUGCAUGUCUAAGUAUCGUGAUUAUAGUGCAAAACUGCGAAUGGCUCAUUAUAACAGUUGUAAUUUGAUUGAUUUGACUUUUAAAUGGAUAUCCCUGGUACAUCCAGGGCUAAUACAUGCCUGAACGGAUUUUAUCCGUGCUUUGAGAACUAUACAAACACGAGUUUGUGAAUGUGUCUCACCAAGUAAAUCAUUUUGAUAAAUCAAAGAAGCUUCUGACCCAUCAGCUUUGAUGGUAGUGUAUUGGACUACCAUGGCUUCUACGGGUGACGAGGAAUUAGGGUUCGAUUUCGGAGAGGGAGCUUGAGAAAUGGCUACCACAUCUAAGGGAGGCAGCAGGCGCGCAAAUUACCCAAUCCUGACCAAGGGAGGUAGAGACGAGCAGUAGCAAUGAGAAGCCUUUGGUUUCUCAAUUGGAAUGGGUGUGUGUUAAAUCUUCACACGAGUAACCAUUGGAGGGAAAGUCUGGUGCCAGCAGCCGCGGUAAUUCCAGCUCCAAUAGCGUAUUUUAAAGUUGUUGCGGUUAAAACGUUCGUAGUCGUAUUUCUGCUUCGGGUGUUUCCUUUCCAAAGGGGACAUUCGAGCAUUAGUGUGGGCGGUUUUCGUCACUUAACUGUGCCGAUGCAUAAACCCGCACUGAUUAUUUUGAGGAAAUUAGAGUGUUUAAAACAAGCAUGGUAUGAAUAUAAUAGCAUGGGACAAUGUGAAACGGGGACGAGAUUAGCGUGGCUUUUGGCUCGGCCCAAUUUUCAAAAGGAGCAUUUGGGGGUAUUCGUAUUGAGCUGCUAGAGGUGAAAUUCUUGGAUUUUUUUAAGACGAACAAAUGCGAAAGCAUUUACCAAGGAUGUUUUCAUUGAUCAAGAACGAUAGUUAGGGGAUCGAAGACGAUUAGAUACCGUCCUAGUCUUAACAGUAAACUAUGCCGACUAAGGAUUUGUAAACGUGAUUAUCACUUUAUAAGUACUUUAUGAGAAAUCAAAGUCAUCGGGGUUCUGGGG